GGCUUUGUUUGCGCAGGAUAGGUGGGAGGCGUUGAAGAUUUUCUUGCGGGGAGAUUGGAGCCGUUGGUGAGAUACCACUCUAACAAUGCUAGGAUUCUAACCCUAUACCGUUAUCCGGUUAGGGGACAGUUUCAGGUGGUCAGUUUGACUGGGGCGGUCGCCUCCCAAAAGGUAACGGAGGCGUGCAAAGGUUUCCUCAGGCUGGUCGGAAAUCAGUCGUAGAGUGUAAAGGCAUAAGGAAGCUUGAUUGUGAGGCCUACAAGUCGAACAAAGACGAAAGUCGGCCUUAGUGAUCCGACGGUUCCGAGUGGAAGGGCCGUCGCUCAACGGAUAAAAGUUACUCUAGGGAUAACAGGCUGA
This 360-nucleotide ribosomal RNA is filed under the name uncultured eukaryote. Its description in RNAcentral is "LSU rRNA". It matches the Rfam family "Bacterial large subunit ribosomal RNA", at positions 2126 to 2485 of the family's 2925-position model. The record is from RNAcentral.